RNAcentral lists this ribosomal RNA (440 nucleotides) under uncultured bacterium. RNAcentral describes it as "partial 16S ribosomal RNA". It matches the Rfam family "Bacterial small subunit ribosomal RNA", at positions 338 to 795 of the family's 1533-position model. The record is from RNAcentral.
CCUACGUGAGGCAGCAGUAGGGAAUAUUGCACAAUGGAGGAAACCCUGAUGCAGCGACGCCGCGUGCGUGAAGAAGUUUCUCGGUUUGUAAAGCUCUAUCAUCAGGGAAGAUAAUGACGGUACCUGACUAAGAAGCACCGGCUAACUACGUGCCAGCAGCCGCGGUAAUACGUAGGGGGCAAGCGUUACUCGGACUUACUGGGCGUAAAGGGCGCGUAGGCGGGAUAGCAAGUCUGAAGUGAAAUCCAGGGGCUUAACCCCGGAACUGCCUGUGAAACUGUUCGGCUGGAGUGAAGGAGGGGUAAGCGGAAUUCUUGGUGUAGCGGUGAAAUGCGUAGAGAUUAGGAGGAAUACUGGUGGCGAAGGCGACCUACUGGACCGUAACUGACGCUGAUGCGCGAAAGCGUGGGGAGCAAACAGGAUUAGAUACCCCUGUAGUC